RNAcentral lists this long non-coding RNA (388 nucleotides) under Notechis scutatus (mainland tiger snake). Its description in RNAcentral is "lncRNA (ENSNSUG00000000270.1)". The record is from RNAcentral. Lineage: Eukaryota; Metazoa; Chordata; Lepidosauria; Squamata; Elapidae.
UCUCCUUCUCUUUCAGUCUCUCUCUCUUUCCCUUUCAUUCUUUCUCUCUCCUUCUUUCUCAUUCCAUCUCUCCUUUUUCUUUCAGUCUCUCUCUCUCUCUCUCUCUUUCAUUCUUUCUCUCUCCUUCUUUCUCACUCCCCCAUCUCUCCUUUUUCUUUCAGUCUCUCUCUCUCUCUUUCCCUUUCAUUCUUUCUCUCUCCUUCUUUCUCACUCCCCCACCUCUCUCCUCUUUCAGUCUCUCUCUCUCUCUCUCUGUCUCUCUCUGUGUGCAGGAAGAGAGAGCGGGUGCGAUGAAAAACAACAACAAAACAACAAACCCAGAACCCAACUAGCCAUCUAAAAAAGACCCGAGCUGGACCACCACUAUAUUUGGGGCGUGGGGUGAAAU